Molecule: long non-coding RNA, 533 nt
Organism: Ornithodoros turicata
Lineage: Eukaryota; Metazoa; Arthropoda; Arachnida; Ixodida; Argasidae
Exons: 3
Source: RefSeq, a predicted model, not a curated record
UCUUUUCACUUUUGUGCGGGAAAUUGUGUGCUGUGGCAGUUGUAUCGUUGCGUCUUGCGGUUACAAAGGUGCAGCAUGUCUUACCUUUGCGACGUGCUGCGAUGCUUGCUUGUGUUCUCUUGGCAAGGCAAGAUAAUAUACAAUUCUUGUGGACAGUGUUGUCGAAGGUAGCGUUGGCUGCAUCCAGGCUGGAGAUCGAGGGAACACACCCAUAUGACACUGCACAAUAACUCUGACACACCACAUAUAAGGUGAGUGCGAUAUGGGUGACUGCUUGGAUCGGACCUACAAUAUGGCGGCCGAUGGCAGCACAUCUGCCUGAAAGCGACAGUGGCGGUCUCCUACGGAUGACGUCAUGUGAAUAAACCCUAUAGUGUGCCAUGAGGAAUAUUGCGGCGACACCAUGCGCCAUCAGCCGACAAACCACACUUUCUGCCGCAGCGUAGCGUCAUGUGGCCAGUCCUAACAGAGAAUACGGAAAUAGAGUGAGUAUGAUGGACUACAUCAUCUGGCCAGGGAUUUUCUCAGCACCC